This 559-nucleotide long non-coding RNA is filed under the name Anser cygnoides (Swan goose). RNAcentral describes it as "lncRNA (ENSACDG00005013965.1)". Lineage: Eukaryota; Metazoa; Chordata; Aves; Anseriformes; Anatidae. The record is from RNAcentral.
CUGGGGAUGGGGACCUGGGACAUGAGGACCUGGGGGUGAGGAUCUGGGGACCUUGGAGGUGGGGACCUGGGACCCGGGGACCCCCCGUGUGAAGCCUCUGUGGGGCCGCGGUCCCUGACGCCGCGGCGCAGCGCGGGGCGAGGGCUGCAGCGGCUUCGGGAACGUGUUCACGGAGAUCCCGGAGAACAGCGCCCACGGCAGCCUGGUGGCCCGGCUGCCGGCGGGGGGGGACGCGGGGGGCCCCGCGCUGCAGCUCUGCCUGGCCGGCGCCGACGCCGCCUGGUUCUACCUGGACGGGCGCAGCCUGCGCCUCAACGCCUCCGCCGGGAGGGCGCUGGACCGCGAGGAGCUGGAGUCCCCGGUGCUGAUGGUGGCCCUGACGUGCGCCGAGGACGGCUUCGCCCCGGUGGAGUACCGCGUCAUCGUCCAGGUCCUCAACGAGAACGACAACCGGCCCCGCUUCCGUGGGGAGCCUGUCCUCACCCACAACGUCAGCGAGGUGUGGGGAGGGGAGGGGAGGGGAGGGGAUGGGAUGGGAUGGGAUUGGGAUGGGGAUGGG